UAGUCUGGUGCCAGCAGCCGCGGUAAUACGGGGGAUGCAAGCGUUAUCCGGAAUCAUUGGGCGUAAAGCGCCUGUAGGUUGUUUAAUAAGUCUGUUGUUAAAGACUAGGGCUUAACCCUAGAAAAGCAAUGGAAACUACUAGACUAGAGUAUGGCAGGGGUAGAGGGAAUUUCUAGUGUAGCGGUGAAAUGCGUAGAUAUUAGAAAGAACACCAGUGGCGAAAGCGCUCUACUGGACCAUUACUGACACUCAGAGGCGAAAGCUAGGGUAGCAAAAGGGAUUAGAUACCCCUGUAGUCCUAGCCGUAAACGAUGGAUACUAGAUGUUGUGCAUAAAGUACAGUAUCCUAGCUAACGCGUUAAGUAUCCCGCCUGGGGAGUACGCUCGCAAGGGUGAAACUCAAAGGAAUUGACGGGGGCCCGCACAAGCGGUGGAGCAUGUGGCUUAAUUCGAUGCAACGCGAAGAACCUUACCAGGACUUGACAUACUACAGAUUCUUUUGAGAAAAAGAAGUGCCUUCGGGAAUGUAGAUACAGGUGGUGCAUGGCCGUUCUU
Molecule: ribosomal RNA, 555 nt
Filed under: uncultured picoeukaryote
Lineage: Eukaryota
Description: bacterial SSU rRNA
Rfam family: Bacterial small subunit ribosomal RNA
Source: RNAcentral